AAAUUGAAGAGUUUGAUCAUGGCUCAGAUUGAACGCUGGCGGCAGGCCUAACACAUGCAAGUCGAACGGUAACAGGAAACAGCUUGCUGUUUCGCUGACGAGUGGCGGACGGGUGAGUAAUGUCUGGGAAACUGC
RNAcentral lists this ribosomal RNA (135 nucleotides) under Escherichia coli. RNAcentral describes it as "partial 16S ribosomal RNA". It matches the Rfam family "Bacterial small subunit ribosomal RNA", at positions 1 to 129 of the family's 1533-position model. Lineage: Bacteria; Pseudomonadati; Pseudomonadota; Gammaproteobacteria; Enterobacterales; Enterobacteriaceae. RNAcentral also lists the same sequence under 2 other names. The record is from RNAcentral.